AUUUGUAAAUAGUAUUUGAUGGCUCUUAUUAGCUGUACAAUCCCAGCUAAGCAGCUCACUUCACCUCUCUAAAUUUCAGGUUCUUUAUCUGUAAAAUGGAGAUCACAGUACUCUAUUACCUAUUACAAGGUUGCUUUGAGGACAGCACCUUAUAAAUUUGAAGGAACUCUAAAAUGUGUCGUUGGGGUGGUUGUUAUGGACGGCAGAGAAGAUUGGACGGAAAGCUGGGGAAGAACCAGACUGAAGUCUUGGGUCUGAGACUAGCUGCCACCCUCACCCUGAGCAAGUCAUUUAAGCUCUAUUUGCUUUUGGCAACUCCCUAAGAUUGAUCACUCCUACUGAGUCACUGAAGGCUAACUCCAUUGAUGAAGGGAGUUCCCUUACCCAGCAAUGCCCCAUAAGGACCAAAUCACAAACAAGCAGAAAUUUCUUUCUUGUCCACAUCCACCCUGUGCACAUUCUUUAAAGAAGCCCACGGCUAGCCUGUGAGAACCCAAUUAUAACUCUCUGCACACAUUUCUAGUGGAGGGAGUUCCAAAAACAGUCCUAGACAGUACCCCAGUCUUAGUACCUUGUACCGAGUGUGCUUUUCAAUCCAGAACCUAGGUGGUACAGUGGGCAGAAUUCUGGACUUGGAGUUUAGAUCCUACCUCAAAUACAUAUAAGUUCUGUGAGUCGCAGUGACUCAGUUUCCCUGUGGCUCCAUUUCCCCAUCUCUAACAUGUAGGAGAUGUACUCAUUGGCUUCCAAGGUCUUUAUGAUCUUACGUUGUUCCUUCCAUCCUCCUCUGUCGCCUUCUUCAGGCUCAAUGCCUUGGCAGAGCAAAGGGUGGAAAGACUAUUGAGCCUGGAACCAAAGGACUUAGAUUGCAAUCACAGCGGGGAAAGUUCUUGGGCACGUUAUUUUAUCACUGUGAGCUCCAGUGCUCUUUGCAAAGGGAACAUAAUGGUCCUUGUCCUGACCGUCUCCUAGUUUUUCUUUCAAAAAUAAAUCAUAGCUAUCAUUUAUACAGUACCUUCAGAUUUGUAAAGUGCUUUCCGUCUCCCCACCUGAUCCUUGCCAUAACUCCAUAAUGUAUUAUUGUUCAGUCAUUUCAGUUGUGUCUCUUUGUGACCCCAUUUGGAGUUUUCCUGGCAAAGAUCCUGGACUUUUCUUUAUCCAGUUUUUAUGCAGACGGGGUUAAGUAACUAGCCAGAGUCGCACCUACUUAACUGACUCCAGACUCAACACUCUAUGCACUAGGGCACUAUCUAGCUGCCUUAUCCUAUUAAUAUUCCUAUUUUAUGGAUAAAGAAACUGAGGCUGUUUUAUUCAGGAUCAUAAAACUAGGAAGGGUCUGAAGCAGAAUUUGAAUUUGAAUUCAGAUCUUUCUAACUUCAAAUCCAACCUUGUAUUUAUAGCAUCACAUAGGUGCUCCAUUGAAAAAUACCUUCACUAUUGGAUGGAUCCUUCCUGACGCAUGAGGUGAUAUGGACCUUAUAAAAAAAAUCUAAAUAGAGAAAAACACUCAGAAAACUUUAAGGCAAUUAUAUAUAAAGGUGAACCAGGAAAGAAGGAAACAGGUAGACAGGCUAGAAUUUCUAUGGUCUGACCCAGGUGGUAGCGGAUACAGGAGGUGGGGGAGGGACACAGGUUAGUUCUUGGUACUUGUACCAGGAAGUUCAGAGACAGUAUUUGCCUCAAACUGUGGAACACCUAGUACCCACCCAGACUUCACAGAAUCCCAGUCCACAAAGGAAAAAGGAACUUUGACUGUUCACCUGGUCAGACUUGGGAAUUCCCAGCCCAAACUUCAGGUGGAGCCUGGCUUUUACAGACUUUUUAGGAUGCUUCGGAUGGUCUGAAGAUGGGGAGAAGAUGGCCUUUUUUCAUGUGGAGGAUAUUACGGAGAUGUUUCUUUCAUAAUAGCAUCAUCCUUCAAUCUAAAAUUUGAAUUCUACUUACAUGAACUGAUGCAGAAUAAAAUGAGCAGAAGCAGGAGAUCAUUGUACACAGCAACAACAAGAUUAUAC
Molecule: long non-coding RNA, 2012 nt
Organism: Sarcophilus harrisii (Tasmanian devil)
Lineage: Eukaryota; Metazoa; Chordata; Mammalia; Dasyuromorphia; Dasyuridae
Exons: 3
Source: RefSeq, a predicted model, not a curated record